GACGAACGCUGGCGGCGUGCCUAACACAUGCAAGUCGAACGGAACUGUUUUGAAAGAUUUCUUCGGAAUGAAUUUGAUUUAGUUUAGUGGCGGACGGGUGAGUAACGCGUGAGUAACCUGCCUUCAAGAGGGGGAUAACAUUCUGAAAAGAAUGCUAAUACCGCAUGACAUAUCGGAAUCACAUGGUUUUGAUAUCAAAGAUUUUAUCGCUUGAAGAUGGACUCGCGUCCGAUUAGUUGGUUGGUGAGGUAACGGCUCACCAAGACCGCGAUCGGUAGCCGGACUGAGAGGUUGAACGGCCACAUUGGGACUGAGACACGGCCCAGACUCCUACGGGAGGCAGCAGUGGGGGAUAUUGCGCAAUGGGGGCAACCCUGACGCAGCAACGCCGCGUGAAGGAUGAAGGUUUUCGGAUUGUAAACUUCUUUUAUUAAGGACGAAAAUUGACGGUACUUAAUGAAUAAG
RNAcentral lists this ribosomal RNA (465 nucleotides) under uncultured bacterium. RNAcentral describes it as "bacterial SSU rRNA". It matches the Rfam family "Bacterial small subunit ribosomal RNA", at positions 28 to 490 of the family's 1533-position model. The record is from RNAcentral.